GUCUGGCAAUUGGAAUGAGAACGAUUUAAAUCCCCUAUCGAGGAUCAAUUGGAGGGCAAGUCUGGUGCCAGCAGCCGCGGUAAUUCCAGCUCCAAUAGCGUAUAUUAAAGUUGUUGCAGUUAAAAAGCUCGUAGUUGGAUUUCUGGUGGGAGUGAUCGGUCCGACACUUUGUGUGGGUACUCGUAUUGUCUCCGGCCAUCCUUGGGCCUAGCCUGUCUGGCAUUAAGUUGUCGAGCAGGGGAUGCCCAUCGUUUACUGUGAAAAAAUUAGAGUGUUCAAAGCAGGCUUAUGCCGUUGAAUAUAUUAGCAUGGAAUAAUAAGAUAGGACCUCGGUACUAUUUUGUUGGUUUGUGUGCCAAGGUAAUGAUUAAUAGGGACAGUUGGGGGUAUUCGUAUUCAGUUGUCAGAGGUGAAAUUCUUGGAUUUACGGAAGACGAACUACUGCGAAAGCAUUUACCAAGGAUGUUUUCAUUAAUCAAGAACGAAAGUUAGGGGAUCGAAGAUGAUUAGAUACCAUCGUAGUCUUAACCAUAAACUAUGCCGUCUAGGGAUCGGCGGUU
This 560-nucleotide ribosomal RNA is filed under the name uncultured diatom. RNAcentral's name for it is "SSU rRNA". It matches the Rfam family "Eukaryotic small subunit ribosomal RNA", at positions 500 to 1061 of the family's 1831-position model. The record is from RNAcentral. Lineage: Eukaryota; Bacillariophyta.